UUUUUAAAUUAAAUCUAAUUAUAUUUGAAUUGGGUAUUUUGUAUUUCAAUUGCUUAUUAUGAUUGUUUGAUGUUUGCAAGUUCUGUUUUUUAGUUCUUUUUUUCGAAUUCAUGAUUUUUUAUUGAGGUUUUUUUAUUUAUUUUAAGUAACUGUUUUUUAAUUAUUUUAGUUCAUUUGUUUCGAAUGCAUGUUGAAUUUUGGUUUCUUUCGAUUUGUGUGUUUAAAAUCUGUUUAUUCCGUGAAUUUGCUCGGAGUAGAUUGAUAAAUCUGUUUAAAGUAGAUUGAUAAAUCUGUUUAAAAUCUGUUUCUUUCGAAUUUAGUUCAUAUUGUAGAAUUUGUUGCCUUGCUGGUGUAUUGUAUAUUUGUAUGUAUUCUGUUUAUUUUGUGAAUUCAAUUUGAAUUGUAAUUGAAUUCUAUCGUUUUAUAUGUUUAGGAUCAACAAGAACCACGGAUUCUUACUCUUGCAAUGUAAGUUGUUCUCACAUUUUUUUAUAAAAUGUUAUGUGUUUAUAAUUGUUACUUAAAAAUUACUUAUAUUGUGUAUAAUUAUAUUGAAGAUUGUGUAUAAUUAUAUUGAAGAUGGAGAGCUCUCAAUCCAAAAGAUCUGCUGCUUUUUCUCAAGAAAUGUCACAGCCACUUUCUGAAAAGGAUAUGGAAGAAUUGCAAUCUACUUUGCCUCCAGAUAAGAAGUUAAAAGCGGGGCGGGAAUACAUAUGGAACAGAAAAAGUAAGAGGAUAUGGAAGAAAAUUUGAAAGAGUUACAAGAAAUGGAGAAAGAGGUGCAACAUGAUGUAUCUAACGAUGGAGACGAUGAAGUUGUUUUCGUUGACUCAUUAGUGUGAAUCACGCAAUCAAAGGGAAAGCAACUCGCCAAAAUUCAAGUUGUCUUUGGAUAAUUUAUGUAUUUCUAGUAUUUGAGACUUAGAGACUUUAUGUAAUUUAAUGAAUUAUUUGUUAUAUUUGAGACUUAUAGAUUUUAUGUAGUUUUUGUCAUUGAUA
This is a long non-coding RNA of Chenopodium quinoa (quinoa), 999 nucleotides long. RefSeq lists it as uncharacterized. Lineage: Eukaryota; Viridiplantae; Streptophyta; Magnoliopsida; Caryophyllales; Amaranthaceae. The transcript is spliced from 2 exons. The record is from RefSeq and is a predicted model, not a curated record.